RNAcentral lists this ribosomal RNA (315 nucleotides) under uncultured methanogenic archaeon. RNAcentral describes it as "bacterial SSU rRNA". It matches the Rfam family "Archaeal small subunit ribosomal RNA", at positions 1029 to 1343 of the family's 1478-position model. The record is from RNAcentral. Lineage: Archaea; Methanobacteriati; Methanobacteriota.
UUUAGUCAGGCAACGAGCGAGACCCGUGCCCACUGUUACCAGCAUGUCCUCCGGGAUGAUGGGUACACUGUGGGGACCGCCGCUGCUAAAGCGGAGGAAGGAAUGGGCAACGGUAGGUCAGUAUGCCCCGAAUAUCCCGGGCUACACGCGAGCUACAAUGGUUGGUACAAUGGGUAUCUACCCCGAAAGGGGAUGGAAAUCUCCUAAAGCCAAUCUUAGUUCGGAUUGAGGGCUGCAACUCGCCCUCAUGAAGCUGGAAUCCGUAGUAAUCGCGUUUCAACAGAACGCGGUGAAUACGUCCCUGCUCCUUGCACA